RNAcentral lists this ribosomal RNA (442 nucleotides) under uncultured bacterium. RNAcentral describes it as "bacterial SSU rRNA". It matches the Rfam family "Bacterial small subunit ribosomal RNA", at positions 30 to 504 of the family's 1533-position model. The record is from RNAcentral.
CGAACGCUGGCGGCAUGCCUAACACAUGCAAGUCGAACGGUAACAGGGGAGCUUGCUCCCGCUGACGAGUGGCGAACGGGUGCGUAACGCGUGGAUACCUGUCUUUAGGUGGGGGACAACAGCUGGAAACGGCUGCUAAUACCGCAUAUUCCCUACGGGGGAAAGAUUUAUCGCCUUUAGAGGGGUCCGCGUCGGAUUAGAUAGUUGGUGGGGUAAUGGCCUACCAAGUCAACGAUCCGUAGCUGGUCUGAGAGGAUGAUCAGCCACACUGGGACUGAGACACGGCCCAGACUCCUACGGGAGGCAGCAGUGGGGAAUAUUGCGCAAUGGGGGCAACCCUGACGCAGCAAUGCCGCGUGUGUGAAGAAGGCCUUCGGGUUGUAAAGCACUUUCAGUAGGGAAGAUAGUGACGGUACCUACAGAAGAAGCUCCGGCUAACUCC